Molecule: ribosomal RNA, 798 nt
Filed under: uncultured Clostridium sp.
Lineage: Bacteria; Bacillati; Bacillota; Clostridia; Eubacteriales; Clostridiaceae
Description: bacterial SSU rRNA
Rfam family: Bacterial small subunit ribosomal RNA
Source: RNAcentral
CUUCCGCAUGGAAGCAAUGGUAAAGAUUUAUCGCUUUGAGAUGGACCCGCGGCGCAUUAGCUAGUUGGUGAGGUAACGGCUCACCAAGGCCACGAUGCGUAGCCGACCUGAGAGGGUGAUCGGCCACAUUGGAACUGAGACACGGUCCAGACUCCUACGGGAGGCAGCAGUGGGGAAUAUUGCACAAUGGGCGCAAGCCUGAUGCAGCAACGCCGCGUGAGUGAUGAAGGCCUUCGGGUUGUAAAGCUCUGUCUUUGGGGACGAUAAUGACGGUACCCAAGGAGGAAGCCACGGCUAACUACGUGCCAGCAGCCGCGGUAAUACGUAGGUGGCAAGCGUUGUCCGGAUUUACUGGGCGUAAAGGGUGCGUAGGUGGAUAUUUAAGUCAGAUGUGAAAUCCCUGGGCUCAACCCAGGACCUGCAUUUGAAACUGGAUGUCUAGAGUGCGGGAGAGGUAAGUGGAAUUCCUAGUGUAGCGGUGAAAUGCGUAGAGAUUAGGAAGAACACCAGUGGCGAAGGCGACUUACUGGACCGUAACUGACACUGAGGCACGAAAGCGUGGGUAGCAAACAGGAUUAGAUACCCUGGUAGUCCACGCCGUAAACGAUGAGUACUAGGUGUAGGGGGUAUCGACUCCCCCUGUGCCGCAGUUAACACAAUAAGUACUCCGCCUGGGAAGUACGAUCGCAAGAUUAAAACUCAAAGGAAUUGACGGGGGCCCGCACAAGCAGCGGAGCAUGUGGUUUAAUUCGAAGCAACGCGAAGAACCUUACCUAGACUUGACAUCUCUUGAAGGGC